GAGGGUAGAGCUCAGUGGUAGAGUGUGUACUUAGCAUGUAUGAGGUUCUGGGUUCAAUCCCCAGUACCUCCA
This 72-nucleotide transfer RNA is filed under the name Camelus bactrianus (Bactrian camel). It matches the Rfam family "tRNA". Rfam says of the family: Transfer RNA (tRNA) molecules are approximately 80 nucleotides in length. Their secondary structure includes four short double-helical elements and three loops (D, anti-codon, and T loops). Further hydrogen bonds mediate the characteristic L-shaped molecular structure. tRNAs have two regions of fundamental functional importance: the anti-codon, which is responsible for specific mRNA codon recognition, and the 3' end, to which the tRNAs corresponding amino acid is attached (by aminoacyl-tRNA synthetases). tRNAs cope with the degeneracy of the genetic code in two manners: having more than one tRNA (with a specific anti-codon) for a particular amino acid; and 'wobble' base-pairing, i.e. permitting non-standard base-pairing at the 3rd anti-codon position. Lineage: Eukaryota; Metazoa; Chordata; Mammalia; Artiodactyla; Camelidae. The record is from Rfam by way of RNAcentral. RNAcentral also lists the same sequence under 2 other names.